RNAcentral lists this ribosomal RNA (301 nucleotides) under uncultured bacterium. Its description in RNAcentral is "partial 16S ribosomal RNA". It matches the Rfam family "Bacterial small subunit ribosomal RNA", at positions 509 to 807 of the family's 1533-position model. The record is from RNAcentral.
CAGCAGCCGCGGUAAUACGAAGGGUGCAAGCGUUACUCGGAAUUACUGGGCGUAAAGCGUGCGUAGGUGGUGGUUUAAGUCCGUUGUGAAAGCCCUGGGCUCAACCUGGGAAUUGCAGUGGAUACUGGAUCACUAGAGUGUGGUAGAGGAUAGUGGAAUUUCCGGUGUAGCAGUGAAAUGCGUAGAGAUCGGAAGGAACAUCUGUGGCGAAGGCGACCAUCUGGGCCAACACUGACACUGAGGCACGAAAGCGUGGGGAGCAAACAGGAUUAGAUACCCCUGUAGUCCCUGUCUCUUAUAC